Long non-coding RNA from Nematostella vectensis (starlet sea anemone), 1511 nucleotides. RefSeq lists it as uncharacterized. The transcript has 2 exons. The record is from RefSeq and is a predicted model, not a curated record. Lineage: Eukaryota; Metazoa; Cnidaria; Anthozoa; Actiniaria; Edwardsiidae.
ACAUUCAUGGUGUAUAAGCUUAUCAGCGAGAAGUCCGUCAAUUCUAUUAGACUUAUUCGGGUUAAAAAGUGUCAAACAAGUUCGUUAAUGUUGCUAACUCUAUUCCAGGAGACAACUGGCCACCUCAGCUCCUACGGUUACUCAGUUACUCAGAUACUUCCUUCGGCCGGCAAAACACGCCGAGCAUUUCACUGUCCCUGUAUAGGUGCUCUGCGUAGAACAGUAAACUAGGAAAUACUGAUAGGUCAAGGGGAACAAAAGGCGGAAAUAACCGAAAUGACGGAAACCGAAAAUAAUGUUUUCGGUUUCCAAAAGCAAGGGCUUUUGUAUUUUUAUUUACAUUGAAACUUGCAUACACCAGCGAGAAAUACGUAAAUCCUUAUAGACGCUUUUUCAUGUGAAAAACUCAUUUAGAUUUAAAAUUUUUAAAUGUUGCUUUUAAUUUAUCCCAGGGCCACCUACUUCUACAUAGCAGUUUCUUAGCCCAAACACAUUAUGUGUGGCAGAGGCCAGAAUGUAUGCGUAGGAGAUGAAUCCUAGGUUUGAAGACUUCGGCCGCAAACAAUUAAUCAGCGGUAAGACCGCCGGGUCCCCAAAUCAUCGUACGACCAGGCUGAGAAAAUCGACCAGAAGAAAGUUACGCCUGAAAGUUUACUGAAACAAUUGGAUAAUUUCUAAAAUCAGAAGUUGACGACAUCGGAAGAGCACCAGACCUACAGGGCCCUACGGAUUACUGUGUCUAGCACUCCAAGCAAGAAAUUGGACUAUGACUAAUAGUGCAAAUGCAAUAAAAGGUAUAGCUCCAUUGUUAUCAGGAAAUGGCCAUGACUAAUGUAAGCCCAAAAACCUGUAGCAGUGGUCAGUGUGGUUAAACAUAAAAAGUCUAUUAGAGACAUUAGAUAGAAUUAUUAGCUGAGAACAUUUACUCAAUACUGUAUAACCUCAUGGUAAAUAUAAAGGAAAUAUCUUAUCCCUGUCAAAUGUUUAAUUUUCUCAUAAAUGUUACCUUGUAUCAUUAUUAUCAUUUCCAUUUGAGACUAUAAAAAGCAGACUGCGCUGCAGUCGAGUGGGCCGAAGGCCGACGAGACGGAACCAGUGGGCGAUGCCAUACUUGCCAAAAUGAAGCCUUUUGAUUGGUAUCAUUGGGCAUUCUGUAGUUUAUUAUAAAUAUAAGCUGGGAGCAUUAACUAAAUACUGUAAAUGCUCAUGGUAAAAAAAAGGUUACAUAUGAGGAAUAACUGUCCCUUGAAAUGUUAAAUUUUGUUACAAAUAUUACAUUAUGGCAUUAUUAUUAUUUCCAUAACUAGAAUAUAAAAAGCAGUCUGUGCAGCAGUCAAGUAGGCCGAAGGCCUACGAGACGGAACCAGUGGGCGAUGCCGUACUUGCCAAAACGAAGCCUUUUUAUUGGUAACAUUGGGCAUGCUGUAGUUAAUUAAAAUUAUAAUUAGCUACGAGCAUUAACUCAAUACUGUAAAAUGCUCAUGGUAAAUAAAAAGUUUAUAUAUGAGGAA